UACGAGAGGUCCAAGCGUCAGUCGGAAUCACUGGGCUUAAAGGGUGCGUAGGCGGGCCCGUAAGUGUUUUGUGAAAUCCCAUGGCUCAACCAUGGAAUCGCAGGGCAUACUGCGGGCCUUGAGGAAUCUAGAGGCCGGUGGAACAAUAGGUGGAGCGGUGGAAUGCGUAGAUAUCUAUUGGAACGCCAAAGGUGAAGACAGCCGGCUGGGGAUUUCCUGACGCUGAGGCACGAAAGCGUGGGGAUCAAACAGG
This 253-nucleotide ribosomal RNA is filed under the name uncultured bacterium. Its description in RNAcentral is "partial 16S ribosomal RNA". It matches the Rfam family "Bacterial small subunit ribosomal RNA", at positions 524 to 776 of the family's 1533-position model. The record is from RNAcentral.